This is a long non-coding RNA of Brassica napus (rape), 1590 nucleotides long. RefSeq lists it as uncharacterized. The transcript is spliced from 2 exons. Lineage: Eukaryota; Viridiplantae; Streptophyta; Magnoliopsida; Brassicales; Brassicaceae. The record is from RefSeq and is a predicted model, not a curated record.
UGUAAAACAUAAAUCAUUUGUAUAUAAAAGAAACUAAAAUAUCAAUCAUUAUGGAAUAAUCACUUUUUUGUUUGUUUAUCACUUCAAUUUAUAUUUUAUUUUGCAGUAAAUUAUGGAGUGGGAUUAGAGAUGCUCUUGAUAACAAAAAAUAGAGAAUAUAAGAGCAGGCACAUUAGAGGAUGUAAUGGGGUUCAUGAGCUCAAGUUCUUAGGCCCGAAUUGAUUUAAAAAAAUGAAAAAUGACUUUAAUUCAUUGAACCGAUCCUUAGUAGUGAAUUCGUAUGAAGCGGUUCAGACCACGUGUCAAUCAGUCACUGUCUUCUCUUUCCUUCUCCACAUCCUCUCCUCGUCUCUUACAGAAGCUGGAGUUCGGUAAUAAGUCUAGCUUUAGCUUCCUCCACUCUCUCUCCAUCUCUUUCCAUUGUUCGUCCCCUUCUCUCCUCUCUCCUCUCUCCUCAUUUCAUUGAUUCAAUUCUUUCUCCUUUCAUCUCAAUUCUUCUCUAUUUUUUAUUUCUAUUUUGUAACAAUCAGAGGAGAAUGGUGGUGGUCUGACAAAUUGGACCUUAUUUCUUGUGUAUGUUUAUUGAAAUCAAUAUAUCUACUUGUGUGUUUCUUCCUCGCAGUGGUGGUGGUCUGAGAACCGGCGCUUCAUGUAGUUGGGACCUCAAGAAGAUAUGUAAUUGGUUCGCGGUGAAGGGUCCGGUGAGAAGUUCGAGUGCCAAGCUGAGGUUCGUUUCUACUAAAGUUUUGAUUUUUAGUCAUGGGAACUUGAUUUGAAUGUGAAAGUUUGAGACUUUAUCACUGGCAGGUGAGCAGAUUGUUGGAUUUGAUAGUUCAUAGCUUAUAUAGUCACAAGAAUUGAUUGAAUGUGUAUUUUGUAUAUGUUUACAGUAAUGCAAGUGAUGCUUUGAUAAGCUGAGGUUCUUGAGUGUGACAGAGCCUGUUUUGCUUGGAGAUGGUGGUGACAAAGGAAGAACUUAUAGACUGACUGUCUUGGAACCAUUGCUCAGAGUGGUACUUCCAAAUUCUCGAACGCUCUUAAGGUUUCAUUUUGUAUUCAUGAUUGCUGUUUGUUGUAAUUGUAGAUGCUUUAGCUGUUAACUCUGAUGGCCGUUACUUGACGACUAGAGGAGUUGAUCGCCAUGUUCAUAAGGUCCAAUUUGUCUCAGCUUUUAUGAUUAUGUGUCUACAUGCAUUUACAUGUCACGGGAACACUGUUUUUUCCCUAUGUUUCUGACACAGAACUGCAGAGCUCUACUCUGGUUCAUUUGAUCGAAGUGUCAAGGCGUGCACUUACGGUUGGGAGAGAUAGAAUCAUGCAACUACACAAGGAAGGUAAACAAGGCAGAGAAGCUUGAUGGAGGAGAAGGUGGCAAAUGGGGUGAGUCAUUAGUGGCGAGGACAUUAGGUGUUUAGAGUGGAGAAGGUCCAAGCUCCGGUAUGUGACUAGAAGACGGUGACGUUGGAGAUAGAACUUUGGGUUUAGAAUUUUAGGUGUAGGUUUAAUUGUUUUUAAAAAAAUUAGUUAAGUUUGAUAUACCUGUCAUAACUAUGUAACCAAUUUCAAUAUAAAAAAAAUUAAUAUAAAUUU